RNAcentral lists this ribosomal RNA (274 nucleotides) under uncultured bacterium. RNAcentral describes it as "partial 16S ribosomal RNA". It matches the Rfam family "Bacterial small subunit ribosomal RNA", at positions 523 to 796 of the family's 1533-position model. The record is from RNAcentral.
AUACGAAAGGUGCAAGCGUUGUUCGGAUUUACUGGGCGUAAAGAGAGUGUAGGUUGUUUAUGAAGUCGGAUGUGAAAUCCCGGGGCUCAACCUCGGAACUGCAUUCGAUACUGGUAGACUAGAGUUCGGGAGGGGUAAGCGGAAUUCCGUGUGUAGCAGUGAAAUGCGUAGAUAUAUGGAGGAACACCUGAGGCGAAGGCGGCUUACUGGACCGAUACUGACACUGAGACUCGAAAGCGUGGGUAGCAAACAGGAUUAGAUACCCCAGUAGUCC